GAACACGUGAAGCAGUUCAGUUCCAUAACAAGUGUGUCAACAACACGGAAGUUAACAAGACCACAACAAGCGACCUUUAUUAUUAUCGGUUUAUUUUCUUUACAUUCUGUAUAACAGGCGUUUUUAAAGCGUGUCCACAAUGGUAUGACUUCUGAUAAAAGCUGGUGCCUACGUGGCGCGGAAGAUCGCUUCCGCUGUCCGUGGUACCGAACAAAACGAUCAGCCUGUGCGCACGCUAUGAAACGGGGCACAAGACAAUAAGCAACAGAGUCAGAAGCGGUUAACAGCAGAGGGGAUGUCAUCUCCAGAUGAUGGUGUAGUGUGUGUGCCUCCCACAGACACUGCAAUGCAGAAACAUGGCUCGUGAGGUUAAAGGUCACGCUGGUUCUGGGUGCUAGAGAAUAAAGCAACAUUCCUUGUGUAACAAAACAACAUUGUCCUCAACUUAUGCAGACUCAGUUUCAAGUUGCAUAUUUGCACUUAAAGUGCUAACCAUUUAUUCCAGCAAAAUAGCAGUCAUUGUUUAUGGUUAUUAGUCAACACGCCUCGCUGCUCAGAGACCCUAAUGGGAAUCUACAAUUCGUACUUUGGUCUAUAGAUAAAAGGAGAAAAAAACAGUGCUAGUAUCAAAUUCAUGCAAAUUUAUGUUAUAUUCUACAAGUGCCCUACCAGAAUGAUCAAGGUCUGGGAAUUUCCAAAUUAUAUCUAAAUUGUGUCAAAUAAAAUACAAACAUUUUACAUUUCACUUGUUAAAAAUUCCUUAAUUGGAUUAAAAAAAAAGUAAAAGUAAAAAUAUGGUCAAACUGUUUGAUAUUGUGAUGAUACAUUGUUACUUAAUACUGAUAUAUAUUACUUUUGAACACAUUCAUGGGGAAAACAAACUUUAUCAACCCGGUUUGCCUUGCGUGACUGAUGGAUGCUGUCAGUGCCUCUCUCUCUCUCUCUCUCUCUCUCUCUCUCUCUCUCUCUCUCUCUCUCUCUCUCUCUCUCUCUCUCUCUCAGCUGUAGAGUGUGAAGGUCUGUUCAUCAACCUCUGACUCAGAGACUGUUCAGAUCUGAAAUUUUCCUAUAGCUAUAAUAUUUACAUUGAAUGACUUCUUAACAGUGCUGUUGUAUUUAUACACAUUUCUUAGCAUUUACAGUAAAGUCUGUUAAAAAGAGUACUGAUGUAAUUGUCUAAUGCAUCAAAUUAUAUAUUGGGUGAAAAAAUAAAUUUGUUUUAAAUCAAA
Molecule: long non-coding RNA, 1229 nt
Organism: Tachysurus fulvidraco (yellow catfish)
Lineage: Eukaryota; Metazoa; Chordata; Actinopteri; Siluriformes; Bagridae
Exons: 3
Source: RefSeq, a predicted model, not a curated record